RNAcentral lists this long non-coding RNA (671 nucleotides) under Mytilus galloprovincialis (Mediterranean mussel). Lineage: Eukaryota; Metazoa; Mollusca; Bivalvia; Mytilida; Mytilidae. The record is from RNAcentral.
UCAUCAAAGGGAGGAUUUGUUGGAAGUAUCACUUUGGUGCCUGUUGUCCCUCUUCCUUCAUAAACUAGAAUCAAAACCUCUUUAAACCUAAUAAUUUAUGACAUCUGAAGCAGUAUUUGUCAGAAGUGUCUGUCGUCUCUUGGUGUCUGUUGUUCCUCUUCAAUCAUAAUCUGGAAUCAAAACUCUGAACACCCUGAAACUUUAUGACAUCUUAGGCAGGAUUUAUCAGAAGUGCCUUUCUGUCGUACCUUGGUGUCUGUUGUCCCUCUUCAAUCAUAAUUUUGAAUCAAAACUCUGAACACCCCGAAACUUGUGACAUUUUAGGCAGGAUUUAUCAGAAAUGCCUUUCUGUCGUCCCUUGGUUUCUGUUAUCCCAAUUAAUUUAGCACAAAAUGAAAAGUGGAACAAGGGAGCCAACAGUAAGAUUAUUCCCACAAAAAAAGCAUUCCUAUACAGGUAAAACAAGGAUUUAUUUAUUAUUUUAAAGGGCCGAAAAAUGUUGCACUACUGAAAUUAGAAGGUUUACGAAGGCUUAAAUUGGCCCUGAAUUUUUAAUGUUUUUUAAAUCGGGCCAAAAUAUUACAAAUUUCACGUAGAAAUACUUGUGAUAAUACUAUUAAGACUAACAAAAAAUUUCUAGCACUUUCCUUUACAAUUUAUGGAGCUAUGAC